AACGUAGGUACCGAGCGUUAUCCGGAUUUACUGGGCGUAAAGCGCGUUCAGGCGGUUUGGCAAGUCGGGCAUGAAAUCUCUCGGCUCAACCGGGAGAGGUUGUCCGAUACUGCUGGACUUGAGGGCAGUAGAGGGUGGUGGAAUUCCGGGUGUAGUGGUGAAAUGCGUAGAUAUCCGGAGGAACACCAGUGGCGAAGGCGACACGCUGGGCCAUACCUGACGCUAAAGCGCGACAGCAUGGGGAGCAAACGGG
RNAcentral lists this ribosomal RNA (253 nucleotides) under uncultured bacterium. Its description in RNAcentral is "partial 16S ribosomal RNA". It matches the Rfam family "Bacterial small subunit ribosomal RNA", at positions 524 to 776 of the family's 1533-position model. The record is from RNAcentral.